Molecule: transfer RNA, 74 nt
Filed under: Petrolisthes haswelli
Lineage: Eukaryota; Metazoa; Arthropoda; Malacostraca; Decapoda; Porcellanidae
Description: tRNA-Val
Source: RNAcentral
CGAAAUAAAGCUUAAGUAAACUAAGCGUUCCGUUUACAUUGGAAAGAAUUAUUGUGAAAGUCAGUUUAUUUCGG